RNAcentral lists this ribosomal RNA (305 nucleotides) under uncultured bacterium. RNAcentral's name for it is "bacterial SSU rRNA". It matches the Rfam family "Bacterial small subunit ribosomal RNA", at positions 337 to 639 of the family's 1533-position model. The record is from RNAcentral.
ACCUACGGGAGGCAGCAGUGAGGAAUAUUGGUCAAUGGGCGGGAGCCUGAACCAGCCAAGUCGCGUGAGGGAAGACGGUCCUAUGGAUUGUAAACCUCUUUAGGCGGGGAGCAAUGCCGGGCACGCGUGUCCGGAGGGAGAGUACCCGCAGAAUAAGCAUCGGCUAACUCCGUGCCAGCAGCCGCGGUAAUACGGAGGAUGCGAGCGUUAUCCGGAUUUAUUGGGGUUAAAGGGUGCGUAGGCGGAUUUUUAAGUCGGCGGGAAAAUGUCCGGGCCCAACCCGGGGCGGCCGGUGGAACUGGGGG